This 444-nucleotide long non-coding RNA is filed under the name Elaeis guineensis (African oil palm). RNAcentral describes it as "long non-coding RNA (EGUI_LNC010215)". The record is from RNAcentral. Lineage: Eukaryota; Viridiplantae; Streptophyta; Magnoliopsida; Arecales; Arecaceae.
GCUGCCAUACUUUUCUUAGACAUCAACUGGUUAGUCAUUUUCAAUUUGAUCAACUUAUAGAUUUGGAUUUGACCAUGGAGCUACGAUCAAAGUCCAUAUUGAUCAAAUCAAAGACAUGAACUUGACCAACUACAUCUAUUAAAAUUGAUCAAGAGAAGAAAUUGACCCAAUCAAAAUUAACUUUUAAUUAGAUUGGAUCAAUUACUAACAUGGUCCAUUAUCAAUGAUUUCUAACCCUAGAUCUAAUCUAGUUAAAUAGACUUGACUCGAGCUAACCCAUUAACCCAUGAGUUAUAAAAUUAAUGUCUUAGAUCUUUGAUUCUCAAAUCUAGAUCGCUUAAUUCUUAAUUAAGUUUUGGACUGAUAUGGGUUCGAGUUCAGUGUUUGAAAAUAGUUUUUAAUUUUAUAAAAUAUUUUUACAAUCAAUCAUAUAAAGAUCAAAAC